ACCAGGCAAAUCCAGCAACAUAGACGCAAAUGAAUAGCACCACAACAACGGCAUACCAUUUGGGCAACUCACCAGGGUUCCCAUUUACUCCGAACUUAGCACCGAUACAAGCUGCAACAACUGCCUGGCAUAUUAACAUUUGAAUUCCACCCUCAAGGAAAAGGAACCUCCUUCCCCACUUGUCAACACCAUAGAUUGAAACCAAGGUUGCAAAAACAUUAACCAACCCAGUGAUCACAGCAGACAUGAGUGCAGCUUGGCUGCCAAAACCAAUUGUAUCGAACAAAACAGGAGCAUAGAACAUGAUCACAUUGAUGCCAGUGAGUUGCUGGAAGAAUGGGAUUGCUAUUGCCAUAGUAAGUUGAGGCCUGUAUUUUCUCUGCAACAAAUUUUUCCAAGGGUGCUCAACUUUCUUUGAUUCUUCA
RNAcentral lists this unclassified non-coding RNA (425 nucleotides) under Hevea brasiliensis (rubber tree). Lineage: Eukaryota; Viridiplantae; Streptophyta; Magnoliopsida; Malpighiales; Euphorbiaceae. The record is from RNAcentral.